This 484-nucleotide ribosomal RNA is filed under the name uncultured bacterium. RNAcentral describes it as "bacterial SSU rRNA". It matches the Rfam family "Bacterial small subunit ribosomal RNA", at positions 30 to 507 of the family's 1533-position model. The record is from RNAcentral.
UUGAACGCUGGCGGCAUGCCUUACACAUGCAAGUCGAACGGCAGCACGGGAGCAAGUCCUGGUGGCGAGUGGCGAACGGGUGAGUAAUAUAUCGGAACGUGCCCAGUCGUGGGGGAUAACGUAGCGAAAGCUACGCUAAUACCGCAUACGAUCUAUGGAUGAAAGCGGGGGAUCGCAAGACCUCGCGCGAUUGGAGCGGCCGAUAUCAGAUUAGGUAGUUGGUGAGGUAAAGGCUCACCAAGCCGACGAUCUGUAGCUGGUCUGAGAGGACGACCAGCCACACUGGGACUGAGACACGGCCCAGACUCCUACGGGAGGCAGCAGUGGGGAAUUUUGGACAAUGGGCGCAAGCCUGAUCCAGCAAUGCCGCGUGCAGGAUGAAGGCCUUCGGGUUGUAAACUGCUUUUGUACGGAACGAAACGGUGAGCUCUAAUACAGUUUGCUAAUGACGGUACCGUAAGAAUAAGCACCGGCUAACUACGUG